Molecule: long non-coding RNA, 1534 nt
Organism: Oryzias melastigma (Indian medaka)
Lineage: Eukaryota; Metazoa; Chordata; Actinopteri; Beloniformes; Adrianichthyidae
Exons: 2
Source: RefSeq, a predicted model, not a curated record
CUCACGGACCCAUCCUGGUGGAACGGCUCCUGGUUUUGACCCUCGUCGGGUGCAGCAGUGACGCUCAAAGACCCGGUGAAGACGGCCGGGUUUUCUUGGACGACGUAGUUCUGAGUUCCAUCGUCCUCUAGGAAUUCUGCGUGCUGAUCCCGCCCAGGGAUCACUCAGGCUGCUCAGGUCACGGAGCUGCAGAGACUUGUGACUUGGAAUGCAGAGACUUGUGACUUGGAAUGCAGGAGGGGUUUAAUAUAAACUUUAUAUCGAUUUGAUAUAAAGUUUAUAUAAAUUUUAUAUCAAAUUUAUAUAAAGUUUAUAUCAAAUUUAUAUCAAAUUGUUACGUCAUCACUACUGAAUGUGCAGGUCAAAGGCCACAUGUCAAAAGGAUUUUGAUGUAAAGGUAAUCAUUAAUCUGUCUGUCCGAUGAUCACCAGAUACACAUUUCUGUGGAUUCUCAGAGUUGUGUUGCUUUUGUAUCAAGCCACUAUACUUGUCACAACAUCAGGAUGAACAACACAAAGUUAGAUCUUGUAAGAGAAUAUUUUUGAUUCAAUUCUAAUUCCAUUUUAUUCUUAUAUAUAACCUUUAAUGAAGCUCUGUAACAUUUGAAUUAACUAGUGUGCUCAUUAAAAUACUGGACACUAGGAUACUGAUUAGCAGGAGGUCAUCAAGCUGCAGCUGAAGCUGUCAUCGACUCAUCCCCUGAGACUGAAUCUCCUGAGGUAUUCGGUCUGGGUCCAACAUCAGCCUUUUCACCCAUGAGACUGAGAAGUGGACGAGCAGCAUCAGUGGCCCAAAGUUCUAUCCUGCAGCUCCUUGUGGUGCAAGAUGCAGAUGACCUCGUGACAGCCCCCCCCUUUUCCAGCAUGCAGCUGCAGACCACCCUCAUCUGGGGGCUGCCCCCGCUCCAGCUCCUCCCCAGCAGUCAGAUGUCUGCUACUACUGUGGAAAGCUUGGACACUGAGUGAAGAACUGCCCUGAGAAAAAUCACAGCAGACACAGAAGAAGACAUAGAAACUUUAGAAGGCCGGGUAAGGAGGGGUGGAGCUCUGCACGACACGUCGACUCUGGGAUUCUCCACAGCAGAACCUCAGCUCAUGUAUGAUGUGCACACACACACACACACACACACACAGCCACUGGAAGCUCCCCCACACUCACCCCCACACUCACAUGCACUUUUACACAUGCAUGUGAAUUGUCUGUCUUACUGGCGUAAACAUUUUGGAUUUCCUGAAGGAAGUUAAUUGAGCAGAAAUCAGCUUCAAAAGCUGAGAGAAUGUUUGGUUAAAAAAAAAAUAAAAGUGACGUUCAAGUGAAAGAAGAUGCAGACAAGUGAUGUACAAUGUUGGACAUAAUGGAAAUGUAUUUGAAAAUGUGGGAACUGAGUCUGAGAAACGAGAAGUACAACAGAUGUGCAAAGUGAUGACUGCUAUGAAAGUAACAAGUAUAGAAAAUAAAAUGGAGAAACUGAAAGGAAAGACCAAAACCGUAGCUCCUCUUCUCUAUCUAUCAUUACUGAGUUUGUAAAAAAAAA